CCCCACCAGCCCUCUUUCUGGUUGUUGUACAUCUCUGGGUGUUGGACUUUGUUCUUCCCAUAGAACUGAUUAUCCUAUGGUGGGCUGAGAAAGAGUGACUGGCCCAAAAGUCAUCCAUCAGGCUUUGUGCUCAAGACUGGAUUAAAGAAA
Molecule: non-coding RNA, 150 nt
Organism: Pantherophis guttatus
Lineage: Eukaryota; Metazoa; Chordata; Lepidosauria; Squamata; Colubridae
Source: RefSeq, a predicted model, not a curated record